RNAcentral lists this non-coding RNA (18 nucleotides) under Mus musculus (house mouse). The record is from RNAcentral. Lineage: Eukaryota; Metazoa; Chordata; Mammalia; Rodentia; Muridae.
UUGGCAUGCACGAGGCCC